Long non-coding RNA from Uranotaenia lowii, 323 nucleotides. RefSeq lists it as uncharacterized. The transcript is spliced from 3 exons. The record is from RefSeq and is a predicted model, not a curated record. NCBI's taxonomy places the organism in Eukaryota, Metazoa, Arthropoda, Insecta, Diptera, Culicidae.
GAAGAUAAACAAAAACAAAACACAAGAAGUAAAUCGCGCUUAGUGUAAAGGUUGCAUCAGCAAAGCUCCUUAUUUGUAUCUAAUCUUUGAGCUCAGGGCUAAAUAGUGUUAAAGUUCUUACUUAAACUAGUGGUACGGAGGUGGAAAAGGUGUAAUCGCUCGAGUGCAGGCUAUACGGAAACACUACAGAAGUACGUAGUUCCCAAACUAUCACGUCAUCCGAGAGCUUUGUCGAGUAUAGGUGGCUAACGGAGGCAAAUAGCUGAAAUUCAGACAGAAGGCAACCGAAUAGGAAAAAGAUACUAAACGUAAGCAAAACAAAC